CUCUGACCCUAUCCCCUCUCAUGCUCUCUCUCUCUCAUUCUCUCUUAGAUAAGUAAAUAAAUUCUUCAAAAAAAAAAAAAAAGAACUCUAUCAUAGAUAAGCCUUGAACUCUGGAGGAAGGGUUUCUGAGGUUUGCUGACAAAUGAGGAGAGGAGGAAGCAUGGUGUAGUAUUACCAUAGUUUGCUUCUGCUGGGUUGGUUGCGGAGAGAAAAGCAACAAUACAUCUCAGAGAUGCAUCACAAUUUGUUCUCAGUCAACUAAACUAUUACUCAAGGUUGCAGAUAUAAACGGCAGUGGUCGAAAAGAGAAAUAGUCCUGGGUUUAAACCUAUGAUGUGGGCAGCUCCAGAAUGGAAAGGAAAUGCGGAAAAUACAUAGUAACCAUGAAACCCUUUAGAAACCAGCCUUUCCGGUGGCCAUUCUCAAGUCUAGGUGACUGGAAACUCACAGCGCAGUUCAUCAGUUUCCACCAUCAGUUGAUGUCAGUGAUGAUGCUGGCACACAUAUCACCAGCACCUGGGGACUCCUGGAUGCUCAUGAUGUCCAAAGGGAGACCUCUGUCAUGGACAGGUCGCAGAUAUAAAGGGCUGCACAGGAAUUGAGAAAUAUCCUUGGAGUUAAGCCUGUGGUGGAAGCACAAGAAUGGACAGGAAGCAUGGGAAAUAUGUAGUAAAUGUUGAACGCUCUGAAAACCAGUCUCCAAUCACGUGUUCAGAUGACCAAGAGGCUCACAGCUCUGCAUGCUGGCACCGACCUUCAAAUGACACAACCAGUCAUGUCUCUUCCAACUUAACUGGACUGUAUGUGAGCCCAGGAGUCAUUGUACACUCACGAUGCCCACACAUAGAAUUAUCCAAUGCACAGGUAUUGUUUGAUAUAGCAGCUUCUACCCAGGUUGGAAUGUGUU
Molecule: long non-coding RNA, 907 nt
Organism: Mustela lutreola (European mink)
Lineage: Eukaryota; Metazoa; Chordata; Mammalia; Carnivora; Mustelidae
Exons: 5
Source: RefSeq, a predicted model, not a curated record